CCUACGGGAGGCAGCAGUGGGGAAUAUUGGACAAUGGGGGAAACCCUGAUCCAGCGACGCCGCGUGAGUGAAGAAGUAUUUCGGUACGUAAAGCUCUAUCAGCAGGAAAGAAAAUGACGGUACCUGACUAAGAAGCCCCGGCUAACUACGUGCCAGCAGCCGCGGUAAUACGUAGGGGGCAAGCGUUAUCCGGAUUUACUGGGUGUAAAGGGAGCGUAGACGGCUGUGCAAGUCUGGAGUGAAAGGCGGGGGCGCAACCCCCGGACUGCUCUGGAAACUGUACAGCUGGAGUGCAGGAGAGGGAAGCGGAAUUCCUAGUGUAGCGGUGAAAUGCGUAGAUAUUAGGAGGAACACCAGUGGCGAAGGCGACUUACUGGACUGCAACUGACGUUGAGGCUCGAAAGCGUGGGGAGCAAACAGGAUUAGAUACCCUUGUAGUC
Molecule: ribosomal RNA, 440 nt
Filed under: uncultured bacterium
Lineage: Bacteria
Description: partial 16S ribosomal RNA
Rfam family: Bacterial small subunit ribosomal RNA
Source: RNAcentral